CCUACGGGAGGCAGCAGUGGGGAAUAUUGGGCAAUGGGCGCAAGCCUGACCCAGCAACGCCGCGUGAAGGAAGAAGGCUUUCGGGUUGUGAACUUCUUUUAUCAGGGACGAAGCAAGUGACGGUACCUGAUGACUAAGCCACGGCUAACUACGUGCCAGCAGCCGCGGUAAUACGUAGGUGGCAAGCGUUAUCCGGAUUUACUGGGUGUAAAGGGCGUGUAGGCGGGAGUGCAAGUCAGAUGUGAAAACUAUGGGCUCAACCCAUAGCCUGCAUUUGAAACUGUACUUCUUGAGUGCUGGAGAGGCAAGCGGAAGUCCGUGGGUAGCGGUGAAAUGCGUAGAUAUACGGAGGAACACCAGUGGCGAAGGCGGAUUGCUGGACAGUAACUGACGCUGAGGCGCGAAAGCGUGGGGAGCAAACAGGAUUAGAUACCCGUGUAGUC
This 443-nucleotide ribosomal RNA is filed under the name uncultured bacterium. RNAcentral's name for it is "partial 16S ribosomal RNA". It matches the Rfam family "Bacterial small subunit ribosomal RNA", at positions 338 to 795 of the family's 1533-position model. The record is from RNAcentral.